GGAGAUCAACCAGAACAAACAAAGUCAACCAGGCGUCAUUCUUCUUCUAAGGAAAACGGAGGGACUGAUUCUCCAAAGAAAUCCAGGAGUUCCCGGCGACACCACAGGAAGGACUCUGCUGACGGUUCCAAACACGGCAGGAUCCCGCUAGACUCAGCCGCUGGCUCAGAAUCUCCGGCAAGAGACCUGCCGGAUAUCCCCAAAAAAUCACGGCGGAAGAAGUCCAAGGAAGCCGACCCCAGCGGUACCAUCCCCGGAUCCCGAUCGUCCAAGUCAAAAGGCACUUCUUCUAGUACAGCUGCAGCACCAGCAUCGGAUCCAGGAUCUGAAGGUGCA
This 336-nucleotide unclassified non-coding RNA is filed under the name Hevea brasiliensis (rubber tree). Lineage: Eukaryota; Viridiplantae; Streptophyta; Magnoliopsida; Malpighiales; Euphorbiaceae. The record is from RNAcentral.